GAAAUUUGUGGCACAUAUAGGAUGAGAACCUGUUUUUAAAACAUAUAGGUUCGAUUCGAGCUGCUUUUCGGCGAGAAAACAUCGGAGCUUGCGACGAUGGCCCGCAGGGCAAGCGCGAAGCGCGCAGUAAUCCUAUACGACCCACCA
This 147-nucleotide small RNA is filed under the name Amphritea atlantica. RNAcentral's name for it is "RtT sRNA". It matches the Rfam family "RtT RNA". From Rfam's summary of the family: This family represents a bacterial cis-regulatory element known as RtT RNA. The exact function of RtT is unknown although it is thought that it may be involved in changing the cellular response in relation to amino acid starvation. Lineage: Bacteria; Pseudomonadati; Pseudomonadota; Gammaproteobacteria; Oceanospirillales; Oceanospirillaceae. The record is from RNAcentral.